RNAcentral lists this ribosomal RNA (465 nucleotides) under Vreelandella stevensii. RNAcentral's name for it is "partial 16S ribosomal RNA". It matches the Rfam family "Bacterial small subunit ribosomal RNA", at positions 338 to 795 of the family's 1533-position model. The record is from RNAcentral. Lineage: Bacteria; Pseudomonadati; Pseudomonadota; Gammaproteobacteria; Oceanospirillales; Halomonadaceae.
CCUACGGGUGGCUGCAGUGGGGAAUAUUGGACAAUGGGUGAAAGCCUGAUCCAGCCAUGCCGCGUGUGUGAAGAAGGCCUUCGGGUUGUAAAGCACUUUCAGUGGGGAAGAAAGCCUUGGGGCUAAUACCCUCGAGGAAGGACAUCACCCACAGAAGAAGCACCGGCUAACUCCGUGCCAGCAGCCGCGGUAAUACGGAGGGUGCGAGCGUUAAUCGGAAUUACUGGGCGUAAAGCGCGCGUAGGCGGUCUGAUAAGCCGGUUGUGAAAGCCCCGGGCUCAACCUGGGAACGGCAUCCGGAACUGUCAGGCUAGAGUGCAGGAGAGGAAGGUAGAAUUCCCGGUGUAGCGGUGAAAUGCGUAGAGAUCGGGAGGAAUACCAGUGGCGAAGGCGGCCUUCUGGACUGACACUGACGCUGAGGUGCGAAAGCGUGGGUAGCAAACAGGAUUAGAUACCCGAGUAGUC